RNAcentral lists this small RNA (167 nucleotides) under Eubacterium sp. CAG:38. RNAcentral's name for it is "Clostridiales-1 RNA". It matches the Rfam family "Clostridiales-1 RNA". The record is from Rfam by way of RNAcentral. Lineage: Bacteria; Bacillati; Bacillota; Clostridia; Eubacteriales; Eubacteriaceae.
UGAUGUCAGGGGACAAAGGUCUGAACCCACAUGAGCUUGCUCAUAAGUGGGUAAAAGACCUUGGGACCCGCCCGCUAUUCGCAUAAAAGCGGGACGGAAGUCCUGCGAUAUGCGAAUAGCGGUGUGAAUUGUGGGAGUGUGUAGCACGGAACAAUUCACAGACAUCA